UCUAAGUCUAUCUCAGAGAGAGAAACAUUCACUGAAAUUUUAUAAACCCAAUGUCCUCAAGUUUUCUCUCAACUUUAUCUCCCUCUGAUUCCAUGCUGGAUCCAGAGAAGAAUCCAGAAUUCCAUGCUGGAUCCAGAGAAGAAUCAGGAAGCGUUGACGUCAGGAGGAAAGGAGACUGGAGAAGAGCAGCUUCAGCACCCUCAAGUAACUUGAGAAAAUGUUCCAAAACAGAGGCAAAAAGUGGCACUGGAGAAACAAGAAAAACUACCCCAAAACAGGAUAUUUACUUGAGAAUUCAAGUAGUCCCACCACAAAAUAGCCAAAGUGGUCCUAAAUACCAGCAUAAAAGAGAUUUAAGUAGCCCUGAGAAAAACUAUGAAAAGGGACAAAUACAGAAGCCUGGAGUGAAAGUUGAAAAGCUUCCUGAGAAAACUCUGAGUAAAGAAGGGAAGAGAGUAAAAGAUGACAAAAGAAAAGGUAUCGGGGAGGUUAUGGACAAGGAAAAUAAAAUAGAAAAGGGCCAAUCAAAGAAAGGAGAUAGUAUAAAAGAUGAAGGUAAAACUGGGGAACGAAGGGUGAAUGUGAAAAAGAAGGGAGAUGAGGACACAGAUAAUAAAGACAAGAAGGGAGGUGAAGACAGGGAGGACCAGGACAAGAAAGAAGAGGAAGAUAGCAACAAGAACAAAGACAAGAAGGAAGAAGAGGAUAAGACAAAGAACAAGGACAUGAAAGGAGAUGAAGAUAAGAUAAAAGUCAAGGAUAUAAAGGAAGAUGAGGAGAAGACCGAGGACAAGGGCAUGAAGGGAGAUGAGAAGACGGAGGACAGGGACAUGCAGGGAGAGGAGGAGAAGACAGAGGACAAGGGCAUGAAGGGGGAUAAGGACAAAACAGAGGACAAGGACAUGAAGGGAGAUGAGGAAAAGACAGAGGACAAGAGCAUGAAGGGAGAUGAGGAGAAGACAGAGGACAAGAGCAUGAAGGGAGAUCAGAAGACAGAGGACAAGGGCAUGGAGGGAGAUGAGAAGACAGAGGACAAGGGCAUGAAGGGAGAUGAGGAGAAGACAGAGGACAAGGGCAUGGAGGGAGAUGAGGAGACAGAGGACAGGAGCAUGAAGGGAGAUGAGGAGAAGACAGAGGACAGGGACAUGAAGGGAGAUAAGGACAAAACAGAGGACAAGGACAUGAAGGGAGAUGAGGAAAAGACAGAGGACAAGAGCAUGAAGGGAGAUGAGGAGACAGAGGACAAGGGCAUGAAGGGAGAUGAGGAAAAGACAGAGGACAAGAGCAUGAAGGGAGAUGAGGAGACAGAGGACAAGGGCAUGAAGGGAGAUGAGGAAAAGACAGAGGACAGGGACAUGAAGGGAGAUGAGGAGAAGACAGAGGACAGGGGCAUGAAGGGGGAUAAGGACAAAACAGAGGACAAGGACAUGAAGGGAGAUGAGGAAAAGACAGAGAACAAGAGCAUGAAGGGAGAUGAGGAGAAGACAAAGGACAAGAGCAUGAAGGGAGAUGAGAAGACAGAGGACAGGGGCAUGAAGGGAGAUGAGGAGAAGACAGAGGACAGGGGCAUGAAGGGGGAUGAGGAGAAGACAGAGGACAGGGGCAUGAAGGGGGAUGAGGAAAAGACAGAGGACAAGGACAUGAAGGAGGACAAGGAAAAGACAGAGGACAGGGGCAUGAAGGGGGAUGAGGAGAAGACAGAGGACAAGGGCAUGAAGGGGGACGAGGAAAAGACAGAGAACAGGGACAUGAAGGGGGAUGAGGAGAAGACAGAGGACAAUGGCAUGAAGGGGGAUGAGGACAAGAUAAAAGACAAGAACAUAAAGAGAGAUGAAGACAAAAAGAGCAAGACUAUCAAAGGAGAUUCCAUGAAAAAAGGAGAUAAAAUAAAAAUAAAAGGACAAGGAUAUAAACCAAAGAAAAAGUUCCAGGCAGAAAAAGGACAGUAAAAAGUCACACUGAAGAAAAACAGCACCAGAUUUUAUAAACUAACAAACGGAAUUGAGUAAUUUCACUCCAACACUAUCAACUUCAAAACUAGCUUCCAGUCUUUUACAGUAUCAAUUAAAAUGAUAGAUUCCUCACAUUUCUUUAACCACAAAAUUUCUGCUUCUUUGCUUGCAACCUGGCAAAAGAGCCUUCAUAAAUUUCAUCUCUUUAGAUCUCUCAAUUUCAAACUUCAGCUUCCAAAUAUAAAUUUUUCAAAAUGUAAAUCCAUUAUGUAUAAUUGUCAACAAAACAUAGUUUUUCUGAAAUAAAACCCUGAUGAAGAAA
Molecule: long non-coding RNA, 2274 nt
Organism: Capra hircus (goat)
Lineage: Eukaryota; Metazoa; Chordata; Mammalia; Artiodactyla; Bovidae
Source: Ensembl